Molecule: unclassified non-coding RNA, 240 nt
Filed under: soil metagenome
Description: partial contains 5.8S ribosomal RNA, internal transcribed spacer 2, and large subunit ribosomal RNA
Source: RNAcentral
AACGGUCUAUACCUGCGGUACCUGCGGAAGGAUCAUUAUCGAGUUUUGAAGUGGGCUGCUUGAGCUGGCACGCAGGUGCUCGGCGGCUCCGCUCUCAUCCACUCAACCCCUGUGCACCUUGAACGAGUGUGGGUCUAGUCUAGUAUUGGAUCGCCUCGUUUCUUACAAACUCUUAUUAUUGUUUUUGUAAUGCAUUGCCUCUUUGUGGGCGAAAUGUUAAUACAACUUUUAACAACGGAU